UCUCCCUGUGAAGAAAGCCGAUGGAAUUC
Molecule: non-coding RNA, 29 nt
Filed under: Mus musculus (house mouse)
Lineage: Eukaryota; Metazoa; Chordata; Mammalia; Rodentia; Muridae
Source: RNAcentral